UACGAAGGGGGCUAGCGUUGCUCGGAAUCACUGGGCGUAAAGCGCACGUAGGCGGCUUUCUAAGUCAGGGGUGAAAUCCUGGAGCUCAACUCCAGAACUGCCCUUGAUACUGGAGAGCUUGAGUCCGGAAGAGGUGAGUGGAACUCCGAGUGUAGAGGUGAAAUUCGUAGAUAUUCGGAAGAACACCAGUGGCGAAGGCGGCUCACUGGACCGGUACUGACGCUGAGGUGCGAAAGCGUGGGGAGCAAACAGG
RNAcentral lists this ribosomal RNA (253 nucleotides) under uncultured bacterium. RNAcentral's name for it is "partial 16S ribosomal RNA". It matches the Rfam family "Bacterial small subunit ribosomal RNA", at positions 524 to 776 of the family's 1533-position model. The record is from RNAcentral.